Molecule: ribosomal RNA, 520 nt
Filed under: Gymnopus sp. PL 49
Lineage: Eukaryota; Fungi; Basidiomycota; Agaricomycetes; Agaricales; Omphalotaceae
Description: eukaryotic LSU rRNA
Rfam family: Eukaryotic large subunit ribosomal RNA (bases 354-520)
Source: RNAcentral
AAUUCUCAACUUCAAUAGCUUUUACUAGCUUAUUGAUGCUUGGAUGUGGGAGCUUGCUGGCGUCUUAGAUGUUCGGCUCUCCUUAAAGUUAUUAGUGGAAACCUCUUUGUUGGUUUAUUCCUUAGUGUGAUAAUUAUCUACGCUAUGAAUAAUCUAAUGUUCCAUUGAGACUUGAGAUUUCUCAGUAGAAAUACUGGUCUGGGUACUGCAAUUAAAUUUGCUGUAUCUGUAAUCUCUCAGUAGCAAUACUGGUUUGGGCAUUGCAAUUAAAUUUGCUUUACCUGUAAGUCUCAGAGGAAAAGAAAUGUUCUGCUUUCUAACCGUCUAUGUAUAUAGACAAUUUAUUGACUAUUUGACCUCAAAUCAGGUAGGACUACCCGCUGAACUUAAGCAUAUCAAUAAGCGGAGGAAAAGAAACUAACAAGGAUUCCCCUAGUAACUGCGAGUGAAGAGGGAAAAGCUCAAAUUUAAAAUCUGGCAGUCUUUGAUUGUCCGAGUUGAAUUAGAGAAGNUACCCCGG